Molecule: long non-coding RNA, 481 nt
Organism: Amphiprion ocellaris (clown anemonefish)
Lineage: Eukaryota; Metazoa; Chordata; Actinopteri; Pomacentridae
Source: Ensembl
GGCUAAGCUAGUGGGGGCAAAGUUUCAGUGCAUUCCGUUGGUGUAGACGGCGUGAAAACGGAAACAAGAAGUAUGCCGGCUCACUGUGCUGCAUACAAUUACACACUGCGUCGUACGAUUGAGACAAGGAAACCUGGAAUGACUUUUCAUAGGUUUCCCAGAGACUAUGGGUUGAGGAGAAAUUGGAAGUUUGUCGGCUUAGACCUGGUGUCAUUCCAUCAGUGUUAAACUUCCCGGCUCAUCUUGGAAGAGUACGUGCCAGAAAGACCACGACCAAGCAGCCUUGAGAGCUUAGGCAGCGUCUCCCUGAGACCAAAGAACUACAGAUUCUUCACAACCUGUUCAAACUCUUGGUACAGGACCUCACCACACGGGUCAAGAAGGUUUCCUUCUCCUCAUUUCUACUCUGAAGCUCACCUUCUCCUGCUCAAACUGCUGACAAAUGUUUCUGCUGCUCUAAAGUCUGCUCUCCAGAACUUCC